UACUCCUACGGGAGGCAGCAGUGGGGAAUAUUGGACAAUGGGCGCAAGCCUGAUCCAGCCAUACCGCGUGGGUGAAGAAGGCCUUCGGGUUGUAAAGCCCUUUUGUUGGGAAAGAAAUCCAGCUGGUUAAUACCCGGUUGGGAUGACGGUACCCAAAGAAUAAGCACCGGCUAACUUCGUGCCAGCAGCCGCGGUAAUACGAAGGGUGCAAGCGUUACUCGGAAUUACUGGGCGUAAAGCGUGCGUAGGUGGUCGUUUAAGUCCGUUGUGAAAGCCCUGGGCUCAACCUGGGAACUGCAGUGGAUACUGGACGGCUAGAGUGUGGUAGAGGGUAGCGGAAUUCCUGGUGUAGCAGUGAAAUGCGUAGAGAUCAGGAGGAACAUCCAUGGCGAAGGCAGCUACCUGGACCAACACUGACACUGAGGCACGAAAGCGUGGGGAGCAAACAGGAUUAGAUACCCUGGUAGUCCACGCCCUAAACGAUGCGAACUGGAUGUUGGGUGCAAUUUGGCACGCAGUAUCGAAGCUAACGCGUUAAGUUCGCCGCCUGGGGAGUACGGUCGCAAGACUGAAACUCAAAGGAAUUGACGGA
RNAcentral lists this ribosomal RNA (592 nucleotides) under uncultured bacterium. RNAcentral describes it as "bacterial SSU rRNA". It matches the Rfam family "Bacterial small subunit ribosomal RNA", at positions 334 to 917 of the family's 1533-position model. The record is from RNAcentral.